Molecule: ribosomal RNA, 253 nt
Filed under: uncultured bacterium
Lineage: Bacteria
Description: partial 16S ribosomal RNA
Rfam family: Bacterial small subunit ribosomal RNA
Source: RNAcentral
UACGUAGGUGGCAAGCGUUGUCCGGAAUUAUUGGGCGUAAAGCGCGCGCAGGCGGUUCCUUAAGUCUGAUGUGAAAGCCCACGGCUCAACCGUGGAGGGUCAUUGGAAACUGGGGAACUUGAGUGCAGAAGAGGAAAGUGGAAUUCCAAGUGUAGCGGCGAAAUGCGUAGAGAUUUGGAGGAACACCAGUGGCGAAGGCGACUUUCUGGUCUGUAACUGACACUGAGGCGCGAAAGCGUGGGGAGCGAACAGG